CAGGCCUAACACAUGCAAGUCGAGCGGGCCCUUCGGGGUCAGCGGCGGACGGGUGAGUAACGCGUGGGAACGUGCCUUCUGGUCUGGAAUAACCCUGGGAAACUAGGGCUAAUACCGGAUACGCCCUUUUGGGGAAAGGUUUACUGCCGGAAGAUCGGCCCGCGUCUGAUUAGCUAGUUGGUGGGGUAACGGCCUACCAAGGCGACGAUCAGUAGCUGGUCUGAGAGGAUGAUCAGCCACACUGGGACUGAGACACGGCCCAGACUCCUACGGGAGGCAGCAGUGGGGAAUAUUGGACAAUGGGCGCAAGCCUGAUCCAGCCAUGCCGCGUGAGUGAUGAAGGCCUUAGGGUUGUAAAGCUCUUUUAUCCGGGACGAUAAUGACGGUAUCGGAGGAAUAAGCCCCGGCUAACUUCGUGCCAGCAGCCGCGGUAAU
This 435-nucleotide ribosomal RNA is filed under the name uncultured bacterium. Its description in RNAcentral is "bacterial SSU rRNA". It matches the Rfam family "Bacterial small subunit ribosomal RNA", at positions 43 to 524 of the family's 1533-position model. The record is from RNAcentral.